Long non-coding RNA from Triticum dicoccoides, 225 nucleotides. RefSeq lists it as uncharacterized. The transcript has 3 exons. Lineage: Eukaryota; Viridiplantae; Streptophyta; Magnoliopsida; Poales; Poaceae. The record is from RefSeq and is a predicted model, not a curated record.
CGUUUUCUUUCAUUGGUGAUGUUGUGCUCUCCUCCACGAACGUCGUCAUGAACCACGUAUGUUUGCUGGGCAUCGAUGCGGUUGGUGGACCUAAUAGGAAUGGAGAGUGACCAUGUUACACCGCGGGCUGCCGCAUACUUGUGUGAGAGCAAGUUGCAUGCUGUAUGAACUAAGGGCAAAUUCGUAGCAGAGUGCCAUUCUGUUUCUACAGGCGAUGGAUUAUCU